UAUUUAUACAAAUAAAGCAAAAUAAAUGAUAAUGAAAUAGAUUCCCGGUCCCCUUAAGCUUCUGAAGGAGAGGACAUCCUAACCCUAACUCACUUUCCUUCUGAGGCUGCACAUGUUGUGAAAGACAUAAUUUCCCAGGAAAAUCUCGGGGUGCUGGUGGGAAGUAGAAAUGGAUGCUGGAUGGCUUAAAAGGCAAAAAUUUAUCACAGGUGUUUCCUAAACACUCAGUUGACAGAAAGCAACCCACCUGAACUGCAUUAAGAUCCAGUCUAUAAAACUCUACGGGGUCAUCUUCAGGUCAGAUGAAAGGCAUUAUUUCUUGGUGGUUUGGAACAUAGAUUCUAUAGCCAAACUGAAUGGACUAAAAGACCAGCUCGUUAGCCUGCAGGUCUUUGGAACUUCUCUUGUGUAAGGGCUUCCCUGAUGGCUCAGCAGAAAAGAACCCACCUGCCAAUGCGGGAGAUGCAAGAGACGCAGGUUCAGUUCCUGGGUGGGCAAGAUCUCCUGGAGAAGGAAACGGCACUAAGCAACAACCUUUGUGUAACUGUAACUUCAUGUGCUUAGUCACUCAGUUAUGGCUGACUCUGUGCGACCCCAUGGACUAUGGCCUGCCAGUCUCCUUUGUCCACGGAAUUUUCCAGGUGAAUUCUUUACUUCUGUGCCACCUGGGACACUCUCAACCAACCUGGGAUGUUGAUAAAUAUAGUUAAUCCUGGUGAACAUGGGUUUGAAUUUUGUGGUCCAUUUUAACAUAGAUUUUCUUUUUUAAGUAAAAACAGUACUAUAUAAUUGGUAGUUGGUUGAAUUCAUGGAUGAGGAACUGCACAUACCGAAGGCCCAGUCUGGAACUUGAGCACCCUGAGAUUUUGGUAUUGACAGCACGUCCUGGAACCAGUUUCCUGUGGAUACAAAGGGAUGAUUGUAGUUCACUCCUUUUUUACAGCCAAAUAGUAAUCUAUUUUCAAAAAUAUAUCAAAAGUUUCUUAAUCAUUUAUCUGUUGAUGGACAUUUGAGUUCUUUCCAGUUUGUGUAUUUUGAAGGAAUGGUCUUGUAGACGUCUUCUCUGAUCAGUAUUUUGAUUUUUCUUAGGUAAUAUCCUAGGAGAAGAAUUGUUGGGUUACAGAGUAGCUCUCUAUUUAACAUUUUUAAAACUGCUUUUCCAAAGUGGUAGUAUCAUUUUACACUCUCACCUGCACAAUAUGAAAAUUCCAUGUGCUCAAUGGCCUUGCCAAUGAUUGAAACUUGUUAGUCUUUUGCAAAUUAGGAGAUAUAAUAAUAUUUCACUGUGGCUUGAAUUUUCAUUUCCUUCAUGUUUUAAGGAUGCUGAGAACAUUUUCAUGUACUUGGUCAUUUGGAUGUCCUCCUCAGUAAAGUGUCUUUUCAAAUUUUGGUCAAUCUUUAUUAGCUUGUUUUUAUUUUAUUACAUUAAAUGAGUUUUUUCCUUUAAUAUAUUCUGGAU
This is a long non-coding RNA of Bos taurus (domestic cattle), 1459 nucleotides long. NCBI's taxonomy places the organism in Eukaryota, Metazoa, Chordata, Mammalia, Artiodactyla, Bovidae. The record is from Ensembl.